Molecule: ribosomal RNA, 730 nt
Filed under: Bacillus sp. (in: firmicutes)
Lineage: Bacteria; Bacillati; Bacillota; Bacilli; Caryophanales; Bacillaceae
Description: bacterial SSU rRNA
Rfam family: Bacterial small subunit ribosomal RNA
Source: RNAcentral
GAUCGAUGGGAGCUUGCUCCCUGAGAUUAGCGGCGGACGGGUGAGUAACACGUGGGCAACCUGCCUAUAAGACUGGGAUAACUUCGGGAAACCGGAGCUAAUACCGGAUACGUUCUUUUCUCGCAUGAGAGAAGAUGGAAAGACGGUUUACGCUGUCACUUAUAGAUGGGCCCGCGGCGCAUUAGCUAGUUGGUGAGGUAAUGGCUCACCAAGGCGACGAUGCGUAGCCGACCUGAGAGGGUGAUCGGCCACACUGGGACUGAGACACGGCCCAAACUCCUACGGGAGGCAGCAGUAGGGAAUCUUCCGCAAUGGACGAAAGUCUGACGGAGCAACGCCGCGUGAACGAAGAAGGCCUUCGGGUCGUAAAGUUCUGUUGUUAGGGAAGAACAAGUACCAGAGUAACUGCUGGUACCUUGACGGUACCUAACCAGAAAGCCACGGCUAACUACGUGCCAGCAGCCGCGGUAAUACGUAGGUGGCAAGCGUUGUCCGGAAUUAUUGGGCGUAAAGCGCGCGCAGGUGGUUCCUUAAGUCUGAUGUGAAAGCCCACGGCUCAACCGUGGAGGGUCAUUGGAAACUGGGGAACUUGAGUGCAGAAGAGGAAAGUGGAAUUCCAAGUGUAGCGGUGAAAUGCGUAGAGAUUUGGAGGAACACCAGUGGCGAAGGCGACUUUCUGGUCUGUAACUGACACUGAGGCGCGAAAGCGUGGGGAGCAAACAGGAUUAGA